This 162-nucleotide non-coding RNA is filed under the name Nicotiana attenuata. RNAcentral describes it as "Eukaryotic small subunit ribosomal RNA". It matches the Rfam family "Eukaryotic small subunit ribosomal RNA", at positions 1674 to 1831 of the family's 1831-position model. Lineage: Eukaryota; Viridiplantae; Streptophyta; Magnoliopsida; Solanales; Solanaceae. The record is from Rfam by way of RNAcentral.
CGUCGCUCCUACCGAUUGAAUGAUCCGGUGAAAUGUUCGGAUCGCGGCGACGUGGGCGGUUCGCUGCCCGCGACGUCGCGAGAAGUCCAUUGAACCUUAUCAUUUAGAGGAAGGAGAAGUCGUAACAAGGUUUCCGUAGGUGAACCUGCGGAAGGAUCAUUG